AUGAAGAGCUUCUCACCAAUCGGUACACUCCUAACCAUGUCUUCCAGGCCUUCCCAGAGCUCCCUCUUGGUGUUCUCAUUGUGGCCUACUUGUGGGGCAUAUGCGCUGAUAACAUUGAGAACCAAGUCCUCAACUACCAGCUUGACCAGGAUAAUCCGGUCCCCCACGUCUCUUGACGUCUACCACUCCAUACUUGAGGCUCUUGUUGAUCAAGAUGCCCACACCAUUUCUGUUUGCAGCCGUCCCCGUGUACCACAGCUUGAAGCCGGUAUCCUCCACCUCCUUCGCCUUCUGUCCUCUCCGUUUGGUUUCUUGGACGCAAAGGAUAUCAACACCUCUCCUCACCGCUGCAUCAACUAG
Molecule: ribosomal RNA, 360 nt
Filed under: Triticum aestivum (bread wheat)
Lineage: Eukaryota; Viridiplantae; Streptophyta; Magnoliopsida; Poales; Poaceae
Description: partial small subunit ribosomal RNA
Source: RNAcentral